RNAcentral lists this ribosomal RNA (229 nucleotides) under uncultured bacterium. RNAcentral's name for it is "partial 16S ribosomal RNA". It matches the Rfam family "Bacterial small subunit ribosomal RNA", at positions 568 to 796 of the family's 1533-position model. The record is from RNAcentral.
UGCGUAGGCGGAUUAAUAAGUCAGUGGUGAAAUCUCAUAGCUUAACUAUGAAACUGCCAUUGAUACUGCAGGUCUUGAGUAAGGUAGAAGUAGCUGGAAUAAGUAGUGUAGCGGUGAAAUGCAUAGAUAUUACUUAGAACACCAAUUGCGAAGGCAGGUUACUAGGUCUUAACUGACGCUGAUGGACGAAAGCGUGGGGAGCGAACAGGAUUAGAUACCCUGGUAGUCC